Molecule: ribosomal RNA, 228 nt
Filed under: uncultured bacterium
Lineage: Bacteria
Description: partial 16S ribosomal RNA
Rfam family: Bacterial small subunit ribosomal RNA
Source: RNAcentral
GCAAGUCGAACGGGAAGCCACUUCGGUGGUGGAAAGUAGCGCACGGGGGAGUAACGCGUGGGAAUUUACACUUCAGUAAGGAACAACAGUUGGAAACGACUGCUAAUACCUUAUAAUGACUCCGGUCCAAAGAUUUAUCGCUGAAGGAUAAGCCCGCGUCUGAUUAGCUAGUUGGUGAGGUAAAGGCUCACCAAGGCGACGAUCAGUAGGGGGUUUGAGAGGAUGAUC